RNAcentral lists this ribosomal RNA (430 nucleotides) under Pseudomonadota bacterium. RNAcentral describes it as "Proteobacteria bacterium partial 16S ribosomal RNA". It matches the Rfam family "Bacterial small subunit ribosomal RNA", at positions 355 to 776 of the family's 1533-position model. The record is from RNAcentral. Lineage: Bacteria; Pseudomonadati; Pseudomonadota.
UGGGGAAUAUUGGACAAUGGGGGGAACCCUGAUCCAGCCAUGCCGCGUGUGUGAAGAAGGCCUUAUGGUUGUAAAGCACUUUAAGCGAGGAGGAGGGUACUGGUAUUAAUACUACCAGGUACUGGACGUUACUCGCAGAAUAAGCACCGGCUAACUCUGUGCCAGCAGCCGCGGUAAUACAGAGGGUGCGAGCGUUAAUCGGAUUUACUGGGCGUAAAGCGUGCGUAGGCGGCUAAUUGAGUCGGAUGUGAAAUCCCCGAGCUUACCUUGGGAAUUGCAUUCGAUACUGGUUAGCUAGAGUGUGGGAGAGGAUGGUAGAAUUCCAGGUGUAGCGGUGAAAUGCGUAGAGAUCUGGAGGAAUACCGAUGGCGAAGGCAGCCAUCUGGCCUAACACUGACGCUGAGGUACGAAAGCAUGGGGAGCAAACAGG